Molecule: ribosomal RNA, 522 nt
Filed under: uncultured bacterium
Lineage: Bacteria
Description: bacterial SSU rRNA
Rfam family: Bacterial small subunit ribosomal RNA
Source: RNAcentral
UAGUCCACGCUGUAAACGAUGUCUACUUGGAGGUUGUUGUCUUGAAUGAUGGCUUUCGGAGCUAGCGCGUUAAGUAGACCGCCUGGGGAGUACGGCCGCAAGGUUAAAACUCAAAUGAAUUGACGGGGGCCCGCACAAGCGGUGGAGCAUGUGGUUUAAUUCGAAGCAACGCACAGAACCUUACCUACCCUUAACAUUUCACGCUCGCCUCAGAGGUGAGGUUUUCUCUUCGGAGACGUGAGGAUAGGUGCUGCAUGGCUGUCGUCAGCUCGUGUCGUAAGAUGUCUGGUUAAGUCCAAUAACGAGCGCAACCCUUAUCCUUAGUUACCAGCAUUGAGUUGGGGACUCUAGGGAGACUGCCGGUGUUAAACCGGAGGAAGGCGGGGAUGACGUCAAGUCCUCAGGGCCCUUACGGGUAGGGCUACACACGUGCUACAAUGGCCGUGACAAAGAGUUGCUACUUUGUGAAAACAAGCUAAUCUCAUAAGCGCGGCCUCAGUUCGGAUUGCAGGCUGAAACUCG